RNAcentral lists this ribosomal RNA (208 nucleotides) under uncultured bacterium. Its description in RNAcentral is "partial 16S ribosomal RNA". It matches the Rfam family "Bacterial small subunit ribosomal RNA", at positions 568 to 774 of the family's 1533-position model. The record is from RNAcentral.
CGUGUAGGCGUCUAGGCAAGUCAUGGGUGAAAUUCCGUAGCUCAACUACGGAGCUGCCUGCGAAACUGCUUGGAUAAGAGGAUAGAUGGAGAAAGUAGAAUUCCACGUGUAGCGGUGAAAUGCGUAGAUAUGUGGAGGAAUACCGGAGGCGAAGGCGACUUUCUAAUUUAUACCUGACGCUGAGGCGCGAAAGCAAGGGGAGCAAACA